RNAcentral lists this ribosomal RNA (432 nucleotides) under uncultured Antarctic bacterium. RNAcentral's name for it is "bacterial SSU rRNA". It matches the Rfam family "Bacterial small subunit ribosomal RNA", at positions 923 to 1353 of the family's 1533-position model. The record is from RNAcentral.
GCACAAGUAGUGGAGCAUGUGGUUUAAUUCGAAGAUACGCGCAGAACCUUACCAACACUUGACAUGUUCGUCGCGACUCUAAGAGAUUAGAGUUUUCGGUUCGGCCGGACGAAACACAGGUGCUGCAUGGCUGUCGUCAGCUCGUGUCGUGAGAUGUUGGGUUAAGUCCCGCAACGAGCGCAACCCUCACUUUUAGUUGCCAUCAUUAAGUUGGGCACUCUGAAAGAACUGCCAGUGAUAAGCUGGAGGAAGGUGGGGAUGACGUCAAGUCCUCAUGGCCCUUACGUGUUGGGCUACACACGUGCUACAAUGGCAUCUACAACAGGAAGCAAAACGGCAACGUUAAGCAAAUCCCGAAAAGAUGCCUCAGUUCGGAUUGCACUCUGCAACUCGAGUGCAUGAAGCUGGAAUUACUAGUAAUCGUGGAUCAGC